CCGUCUUUUUUUCAAGUGAAAAAUGGUAAUCUUACAUAUGUUUGAUGUAGUUUUUUCAUUUUUUAUGUUGUAUGUUUACAUAUUAUUUAUAAUUUUCGAAAAUUAGUAAUAUUAAAAUGUAAAACUAUAUUUUAUGCCACGUGUCAUAUUUCGGGAGAAGUUUUUUUUGCUUAUGUGGACGCUCUAUUGAGCCUCAAAAUGUCCCUUUUAUUAGUAAAAGUAAAACUAUAUUUUAUGCCACGUGUCAUCUUUCGGGAAAAGUGUUUUUUGCUUGUGUGGACGCUAUACGGAGCCUCAAAAGGUCCCUUUUAUUAGUAUAGAUUUAAAUGUAAAAUGGUAAUCUUACAUAUGUUUAAUGUAGUAUUUCUAUUUUAAUGUUGUAUGUUUUACAUAUAUUUAUUAUUUUUGAAAUUAUAUAUAAUGUUUUUUGUUUUUUUUUAUAAAACGGUAAUGUUACAUUAUGGAGAUAAGCCGUCUUUUUUUUAAGGGAAAAAUAGUAAUCUUACAUAUGUUUAAUGUAGUUUUUCCAUUUUUUUAUGCUGUAUGUUUACAUAUUUUUUACAAUUUUCGAAAAUAAGUAAUAUUAAAAUGUAAAACUAUAUUUUAUGCCACGUGUCAUCUUUCGGGAGAAAUUUUUUCCGCUGAUGUGGACGCCCUAUGGAGCCUCAAAAGCUCCCUUUUAUUAGUAGAGAUUUUCGAAAAUAAGUAAUAUUAAAAUGUAAAACUAUAUUUUAUGCCACGUGUCAUCUUUCAGGAGAAAUUUUUUCCGCUGAUGUGGACGCCCUAUGGAGCCUCAAAAGCUCCCUUUUAUUAGUAGAGAUUUAAAUGUAAAAUGGUAAUCUUACAUAUGUUUAAUGUAGUAUUUCUAUUUUAUUGUUGUAUGUUUUACAUAUAUUUAUUAUUUUUGAAAUUAUAUAUAACGUUUUUUGUUUUUUUUAUAAAACGGUAAUGUUACAUUAUGGAGAUAAGCCGUCUUUUUUUUUAAGGGAAAAAUAGUAAUCUUACAUAUGUUUAAUGUAGUUUUUCCAUUUUUUUAUGUUGUAUGUUUACAGAUUUUUUACAAUUUUCGAAAAUAAGUAAUAUUAAAAUGUAAAACUAUAUUUUAUGCCACGUGUCAUCUUUCGGGAGAAAUUUUUUCCGCUGAUGUGGACGUCCUAUGGAGCCUCAAAAGCUCCCUUUUAUUAGUAGAGAUUGGGAAUCUUUCGAUUCAUGAACAUUUAAGAAAUGGAAUAUUUUAAAGAAGAGAAAACGAAGUUAGUAGUGGAAAGACACGUCUUCCUGAUCUGGAAGAUUUUACUCUACUCGAUCUUAUUCCUCUUACAUUAUUUCAGGAUAUAUACCCAUUAUUAACGACUUUUUUUUUUUUUGCUUUUAAUCGCGGUAUAAUGACUAAAUAGUGAAUAAAAGGUUUGGAAACCACGAAGUUUGAUCAGACUUGUAUUUUUCUCAUUGACAGGAUCCCCUCGGGUUCGAUAGAUUUAUCUUCAAGGAUUAGACCAUCUCCAAGGCAACUCUAUUUUUUUCUCUAUAAUUUACACAAAAAUAGAGUAACUCUAUUAUAGUGUAACUUUUGCUCCAAUGGUGUUACUCUAUAAGAGCAUCUCCAAAGGCACUCUAUUUUUUCCUCUAUAAUUUACACUAAAA
Molecule: long non-coding RNA, 1644 nt
Filed under: Brassica rapa (field mustard)
Lineage: Eukaryota; Viridiplantae; Streptophyta; Magnoliopsida; Brassicales; Brassicaceae
Description: long non-coding RNA (BRAP_LNC000814)
Source: RNAcentral